UAUGAUCCUGUUUCAUGAAUUUAAGAGGUGAUGUUAUGCGCAUGAAAAGUAAUGUUUCGGCCUCCCGCCCUCUCUUCACGUGACGGGCAGGUAGAGGACCAGUAGAGUGCCGUAAGCGUGCAACAGGUUGAAAUAAACGGUAUCAUGUGACUAGUAAUGUUUGACUACAACGGCCCACGCUUCCCUCUCUUUAUGUGACGGGCAGAUAGAGGACCAGUAGAGUGCAGUAAGCGUGCAACAGGUUGAAAGAAACGGUAUCAUGUGACUGGUAAUAUUUGACCAUAACGGCCCACGCUUCCCUAUCUUGAUGUGACGGGCAAGUCAGAGAAACCGGAUUUACGAUAGACUGACAUAAAUUCAUACGUCGAAAUGCAUUUACGAUCAAGCCCUUCCUCUCGAUUUGAACUUCAAGACAAGUCAGUGUCACAUUUUAUAUGGUAAAGACAGACUCUUGUGCUCAAGAUCCUGGCGGAUAUACUGCAUGAUUGGUAAUAAAAAACAUACAAAUACUUGAUGAUGUUGGAACUGAAUGACUGAACAUAUUGUACUAUAGUAUAUCAAAAAUAAAAAUGUCAGAAUUUCCGUUAUUUCCAUUGGCUAUCAAUAUCUACUCGACCAUGAUAGAUAUAUGUCAAAUGUUAGGAGUGUCUUGUCACAUGACCACGAAAUACCUUAAUAAAGCGAAAUGAAUACUUAAAACGAAUAAAAAAUAUAGUUGCUUAA
Long non-coding RNA from Actinia tenebrosa (Australian red waratah sea anemone), 723 nucleotides. RefSeq lists it as uncharacterized. The record is from RefSeq and is a predicted model, not a curated record. Lineage: Eukaryota; Metazoa; Cnidaria; Anthozoa; Actiniaria; Actiniidae.